AGGGCAGUAGCUCCAACGGUAGAGCGGCGGACUCCAAAUCCGUAGGUUGUGGGUUCGAAUCCCUCCUGCCCUG
This 73-nucleotide transfer RNA is filed under the name Deltaproteobacteria bacterium. Its description in RNAcentral is "tRNA-Trp". It matches the Rfam family "tRNA". Rfam says of the family: Transfer RNA (tRNA) molecules are approximately 80 nucleotides in length. Their secondary structure includes four short double-helical elements and three loops (D, anti-codon, and T loops). The record is from RNAcentral. Lineage: Bacteria; Pseudomonadati; Myxococcota; Myxococcia.